Molecule: ribosomal RNA, 274 nt
Filed under: uncultured bacterium
Lineage: Bacteria
Description: partial 16S ribosomal RNA
Rfam family: Bacterial small subunit ribosomal RNA
Source: RNAcentral
AUACGAAAGGUGCAAGCGUUGUUCGGAUUUACUGGGCGUAUAGAGAGUGUAGGUUGUUUAUUAAGUCGGAUGUGAAAUCCCGGGGCUCAACCUCGGAACUGCAUUCGAUACUGAUAGGCUAGAGUUUGGGAGGGGUAAGCGGAAUUCCGUGUGUAGCAGUGAAAUGCGUAGAUAUACGGAGGAACACCUGAGGCGAAGGCGGCUUACUGGACCAAUACUGACACUGAGACUCGAAAGCGUGGGUAGCAAACAGGAUUAGAAACCCCAGUAGUCC